Molecule: ribosomal RNA, 704 nt
Filed under: Candidozyma duobushaemuli
Lineage: Eukaryota; Fungi; Ascomycota; Pichiomycetes; Serinales; Metschnikowiaceae
Description: eukaryotic LSU rRNA
Rfam family: Eukaryotic large subunit ribosomal RNA
Source: RNAcentral
CAUGCUAUUUCCUCAAAUCAGGUAGGACUACCCGCUGAACUUAAGCAUAUCAAUAAGCGGAGGAAAAGAAACCAACAGGGAUUGCCUCAGUAACGGCGAGUGAAGCGGCAAGAGCUCAACUUUGGAAUCGCUCCGGCGAGUUGUAGUCUGGAGGCGGCCGGUCCGCCUUGCGCAACCAAAUCUAAGUCCUCUGGAACGAGGCGCUUGAAAGGGUGACAGCCCCGUGGAUUUUUGUUGUUGUGCUUGGCCCCUGGUCUGCCGACGAGUCGAGUUGUUUGGGAAUGCAGCUCUAAGUGGGUGGUAAAUUCCAUCUAAAGCUAAAUACCGGCGAGAGACCGAUAGCGAACAAGUACAGUAAUGGAAAGAUGAAAAGCACUUUGAAAAGAGAGUGAAACAGUACGUGAAAUUGUUGAAAGGGAAGGGCUUGCAGCUAGACAACUGUCAGCAUCGGGUGGAGCGGAACUAAAAGUGGGAGCUGAUGUAGCAACCCCCCCGGGGUUGCAUUAUACAACUCUCAGAUGGUUCCUGCUUCGCCCGAGGAUCGCCUAUUUGAAGGAUGCUGGCGCAAUGGCUGCAAGCCACCCGUCUUGAAACACGGACCAAGGAGUCUAACGUCUAUGCGAGUGUACGGGUGGAAAACCCCUGCGCGGAAUGAAAGUAAGAGGUUGGAGCCCGCAAGGGUGCACAAUCGACCGACCUGGAAG